AGCGCAGGCGGUUUCUUAAGUCUGAUGUGAAAGCCUUCGGCUCAACCGAAGAAGUGCAUCGGAAACUGGGAAACUUGAGUGCAGAAGAGGACAGUGGAACUCCAUGUGUAGCGGUGAAAUGCGUAGAUAUAUGGAAGAACACCAGUGGCGAAGGCGGCUGUCUGGUCUGUAACUGACGCUGAGGACUCAAAGCAUGGGUAGCAAACA
This 207-nucleotide ribosomal RNA is filed under the name uncultured bacterium. Its description in RNAcentral is "partial 16S ribosomal RNA". It matches the Rfam family "Bacterial small subunit ribosomal RNA", at positions 568 to 774 of the family's 1533-position model. The record is from RNAcentral.